GUGGGGCUCCUCCAGCACCUCGAAGAUCGCGGCCCCGAUGGACAGGUAGAAGAUGAUGGCCGAGGUUCAGCGUAAUUUCUCGUUUUCGACGCCGGCAGGCUGUGAAACGAGGGCUGUGGCUUUCCCGGAUGCGUGGAAGCGUGGGGGAAAGGUGGGAAUGGUCCAUCCAGAUCACCUUUUAAUAUGAAUCACAGCUCUGUUGAACUCC
This 208-nucleotide long non-coding RNA is filed under the name Manacus vitellinus (golden-collared manakin). RNAcentral's name for it is "lncRNA (ENSMVIG00005006084.1)". Lineage: Eukaryota; Metazoa; Chordata; Aves; Passeriformes; Pipridae. The record is from RNAcentral.